UGUUAAAGUUUUCAUGCAUUUCUACCAUUAAAAAUUGGUGUAACUGAUAGAAUAAUCAGACAAUUACACGUGACGUGUCAUGUGUACCUCAUGUUGAGGUACAAGGACCAGUUUUUAACAGUAGAAUGGAAGAAAUUUUUAAUA
Molecule: non-coding RNA, 144 nt
Organism: Gossypium raimondii (Peruvian cotton)
Lineage: Eukaryota; Viridiplantae; Streptophyta; Magnoliopsida; Malvales; Malvaceae
Source: Rfam